RNAcentral lists this ribosomal RNA (17 nucleotides) under Psophocarpus tetragonolobus (winged bean). RNAcentral describes it as "partial small subunit ribosomal RNA". The record is from RNAcentral. Lineage: Eukaryota; Viridiplantae; Streptophyta; Magnoliopsida; Fabales; Fabaceae.
GCCUUAGUGACUGCGGA